RNAcentral lists this ribosomal RNA (519 nucleotides) under uncultured bacterium. RNAcentral describes it as "bacterial SSU rRNA". It matches the Rfam family "Bacterial small subunit ribosomal RNA", at positions 355 to 887 of the family's 1533-position model. The record is from RNAcentral.
UGGGGAAUCUUGGACAAUGGGGGCAACCCUGAUCCAGCCAUGCCGCGUGAGUGAUGAAGGCCUUAGGGUCGUAAAGCUCUUUCGCCUGUGAAGAUAAUGACGGUAGCAGGUAAAGAAACCCCCGGCUAACUCCGUGCCAGCAGCCGCGGUAAUACGAAGGGGGGUUAGCGUUGUUCGGAAUUACUGGGCGUAAAGCGCACGUAGGCGGACCAGAAAGUUGGGGGUGAAAUCCCGGGGGCUCAACCCCGGAACUGCCUCCAAAACUAUUGGUCUAGAGUUCGAGAGAGGUGAGUGGAAUUCCGAGUGUAGAGGUGAAAUUCGUAGAUAUUCGGAGGAACACCAGUGGCGAAGGCGGCUCACUGGCUCGAUACUGACGCUGAGGUGCGAAAGCGUGGGGAAGCAAACAGGAUUAGAUACCCUGGUAGUCCACACCGUAAAACGAUGAAUGCCAGUCGUCGGGUAGCAUGCUAUUCGGUGACACACCUAACGGAUUAAGCAUUCCGCCUGGGGAGUACGGUC